Molecule: ribosomal RNA, 532 nt
Filed under: Maskellanna sp. D0781B
Lineage: Eukaryota; Metazoa; Arthropoda; Insecta; Hemiptera; Diaspididae
Description: partial 28S ribosomal RNA
Source: RNAcentral
AUCUGGGCGGCGAAAUUCAGAAUGUCUGGGCGGGCGUUCGCGCACGACCGGCCGUUUGAUAUUUUCGUCGCCGUGUCAGACGUCGCGACCUGUUCGUCGUUGGUCCUUGCUCGGAGGAGUCGCGAUCGAGCUCGUUGUGGGCGCGUUUCGGCGCGUCUCACGGCGAAGACGCGAAUCUCUGGCUGACGACGGACAGUAAGCAAUGGUGGCCGAUGACGCGUCUCGCACGCGGCGUCGGUGCCGGUCAGCGACGAUUUCUUCGGGCCUCUUUCCGACCCGUCUUGAAACACGGACCAAGGAGUCUAACAUGUGCGCGAGUCGCGGGGCGUCGAGCGUACUUCGGUGCGCUCGUCACGUCACGAAACCCGUACAUUGAAGGCGUAAUGAAAGUGAACAGGGAAGAUGGUGUUCCGAGUAUACGAACCGUGACUAAUGUCGCGGCCGGACGCCCGCAUUCCCGGGGCGUCUCAAUGGUUCGUCGCGGACGCGGACGGUCGUCUUUCGGGACGGUCGUCGAUCUGCGACGGUCCGA